RNAcentral lists this ribosomal RNA (792 nucleotides) under Actinomycetes bacterium. RNAcentral's name for it is "bacterial SSU rRNA". It matches the Rfam family "Bacterial small subunit ribosomal RNA", at positions 8 to 817 of the family's 1533-position model. The record is from RNAcentral. Lineage: Bacteria; Bacillati; Actinomycetota; Actinomycetes.
AGAGUUUGAUCCUGGCUCAGGACGAACGCUGGCGGCGUGCUUCACACAUGCAAGUCGAGCGGAAAGGCCCUUCGGGGUACUCGAGCGGCGAACGGGUGAGUAACACGUGAGUAACCUGCCCCUUGCACCGGGAUAGCUCCGGGAAACCGGAAUUAAUACCGGAUAUGACCACGGUCGGCAUCGACUGUGGUGGAAAGGAUUCUGGCAAGGGAUGGACUCGCGGCCUAUCAGCUAGUUGGUUGGGGUAACGGCCCACCAAGGCGACGACGGGUAGCCGGCCUGAGAGGGCGACCGGCCACACUGGGACUGAGACACGGCCCAGACUCCUACGGGAGGCAGCAGUGGGGAAUAUUGCGCAAUGGGCGAAAGCCUGACGCAGCGACGCCGCGUGGGGGAUGAAUGCCUUCGGGUUGUAAACCCCUUUCAGCAGGGACGAAGCGAGAGUGACGGUACCUGCAGAAGAAGCGCCGGCUAACUACGUGCCAGCAGCCGCGGUAACACGUAGGGCGCAAGCGUUGUCCGGAAUUAUUGGGCGUAAAGAGCUCGUAGGCGGUUCGUCACGUCCGCUGUGAAAACCUAGGGCUUAACCCUGGGCCUGCAGUGGAUACGGGCGAACUAGAGGUAGGUAGGGGAGAAUGGAAUUCCCGGUGUAGCGGUGAAAUGCGCAGAUAUUGGGAGGAACACCGGUGGCGAAGGCGGUUCUCUGGGCCUUACCUGACGCUGAGGAGCGAAAGCGUGGGGAGCAAACUGGAUUAGAUACCCUGGUAGUCCACGCCGUAAACGUUGGGCGCU